AUUGCUUCUUGGCCUUUUGGCUAAGAUCAAGUGUAGUAGAAACAGAAUAUAUUUUUAAAAGGGACUAAUAUUU
Oryctolagus cuniculus (rabbit) is the source of this 73-nucleotide small nuclear RNA. Its record names the gene U2. It matches the Rfam family "U2 spliceosomal RNA". Rfam says of the family: U2 is a small nuclear RNA (snRNA) component of the spliceosome (involved in pre-mRNA splicing). The record is from Ensembl. Lineage: Eukaryota; Metazoa; Chordata; Mammalia; Lagomorpha; Leporidae.